RNAcentral lists this ribosomal RNA (765 nucleotides) under uncultured bacterium. Its description in RNAcentral is "bacterial SSU rRNA". It matches the Rfam family "Bacterial small subunit ribosomal RNA", at positions 554 to 1322 of the family's 1533-position model. The record is from RNAcentral.
CUGGGCGUAAAGCGUGCGCAGGCGGAUUGUUAAGCAAGAUGUGAAAUCCCCGGGCUUAACCUGGGAAUGGCAUUUUGAACUGGCAGUCUAGAGUGCGUCAGAGGGGGGUGGAAUUCCACGUGUAGCAGUGAAAUGCGUAGAGAUGUGGAGGAACACCAAUGGCGAAGGCAGCCCCCUGGGAUGACACUGACGCUCAUGUACGAAAGCGUGGGUAGCAAACAGGAUUAGAUACCCUGGUAGUCCACGCCCUAAACGAUGUCAACUGGUUGUUGGGGGAGUGAAAUCCCUUAGUAACGAAGCUAACGCGUGAAGUUGACCGCCUGGGGAGUACGGUCGCAAGAUUAAAACUCAAAGGAAUUGACGGGGACCCGCACAAGCGGUGGAUGAUGUGGAUUAAUUCGAUGCAACGCGAAAAACCUUACCUACCCUUGACAUGUCCGGAAUCCUGCAGAGAUGCGGGAGUGCUCGAAAGAGAACCGGAACACAGGUGCUGCAUGGCUGUCGUCAGCUCGUGUCGUGAGAUGUUGGGUUAAGUCCCGCGACGAGCGCAACCCUUAUCAUUAGUUGCUACGCAAGGGCACUCUAAUGAGACUGCCGGUGACAAACCGGAGGAAGGUGGGGAUGACGUCAAGUCCUCAUGGCCCUUAUGGGUAGGGCUUCACACGUCAUACAAUGGUCGGUACAGAGGGUUGCCAAGCCGCGAGGUGGAGCCAAUCCCAGAAAGCCGAUCGUAGUCCGGAUUGUUCUCUGCAACUCGAGAGCAUG